RNAcentral lists this ribosomal RNA (1521 nucleotides) under uncultured Pigmentiphaga sp. RNAcentral's name for it is "bacterial SSU rRNA". It matches the Rfam family "Bacterial small subunit ribosomal RNA". The record is from RNAcentral. Lineage: Bacteria; Pseudomonadati; Pseudomonadota; Betaproteobacteria; Burkholderiales; Alcaligenaceae.
AGAGUUUGAUUCUGCUCAGAUUGAACGCUAGCGGCAUGCCUUACACAUGCAAGUCGAACGGCAGCGCGGACUUGGUCUGGCGGCGAGUGGCGAACGGGUGAGUAAUGCAUCGGAACGUGCCCAGUAGCGGGGGAUAACUACGCGAAAGCGUGGCUAAUACCGCAUACGCCCUACGGGGGAAAGGGGGGGAUCGCAAGACCUCUCACUAUUGGAGCGGCCGAUGUCGGAUUAGCUAGUUGGUGGGGUAAAGGCCUACCAAGGCGACGAUCCGUAGCUGGUUUGAGAGGACGACCAGCCACACUGGGACUGAGACACGGCCCAGACUCCUACGGGAGGCAGCAGUGGGGAAUUUUGGACAAUGGGGGCAACCCUGAUCCAGCCAUGCCGCGUGUGCGAAGAAGGCCUUCGGGUUGUAAAGCACUUUUGGCGGGAAAGAAACGGCGCCGGAUAAUACCUGGCGUAACUGACGGUACCCGCAGAAUAAGCACCGGCUAACUACGUGCCAGCAGCCGCGGUAAUACGUAGGGUGCAAGCGUUAAUCGGAAUUACUGGGCGUAAAGCGUGCGCAGGCGGUUCGGAAAGAAAGAUGUGAAAUCCCAGGGCUCAACCUUGGAACUGCAUUUUUAACUCCCGAACUAGAGUAUGUCAGAGGGGGGUGGAAUUCCACGUGUAGCAGUGAAAUGCGUAGAUAUGUGGAGGAACACCGAUGGCGAAGGCAGCCCCCUGGGAUAAUACUGACGCUCAUGCACGAAAGCGUGGGGAGCAAACAGGAUUAGAUACCCUGGUAGUCCACGCCCUAAACGAUGUCAACUAGCUGUUGGGUUCUUCGGAGCUUGGUAGCGCAGCUAACGCGUGAAGUUGACCGCCUGGGGAGUACGGUCGCAAGAUUAAAACUCAAAGGAAUUGACGGGGACCCGCACAAGCGGUGGAUGAUGUGGAUUAAUUCGAUGCAACGCGAAAAACCUUACCUACCCUUGACAUGUCUGGAAUCCUGAAGAGAUUUAGGAGUGCUCGAAAGAGAACCGGAACACAGGUGCUGCAUGGCCGUCGUCAGCUCGUGUCGUGAGAUGUUGGGUUAAGUCCCGCAACGAGCGCAACCCUUGUCAUUAGUUGCUACGAAAGGGCACUCUAAUGAGACUGCCGGUGACAAACCGGAGGAAGGUGGGGAUGACGUCAGGUCCUCAUGGCCCUUAUGGGUAGGNCUUCACACGUCAUACAAUGGUCGGGACAGAGGGCAGCCAACCCGCGAGGGGGAGCCAAUCCCAGAAACCCGAUCGUAGUCCGGAUUGCAGUCUGCAACUCGACUGCAUGAAGUCGGAAUCGCUAGUAAUCGCGGAUCAGCAUGUCGCGGUGAAUACGUUCCCGGGUCUUGUACACACCGCCCGUCACACCAUGGGAGUGGGUUCUACCAGAAGUAGGUAGCCUAACCGUAAGGGGGGCGCUUACCACGGUAGGGUUCAUGACUGGGGUGAAGUCGUAACAAGGUAGCCGUAUCGGAAGGUGCGGUUGGAUCACCUCCUU